UGAAUAACAGAGAUAGCUACCUUCUAAAUAUUAUCUGUGUGUACUUCACACUACUUUUCUAGUCAUACCUCUAGCUAACACUCUUACAUGCAGAUUGUAUGAUCAGACAAUGUCAUGAAAAAUGAAUAUCUUCUUAAUCUAUCUAAUUCAAAGUCUGAUGAUGCUGUAUAUCAGAGCUUCAGUGAUAAAUAUCUUGAUCUGUUUCAGCAUCUACUUUGACUUCUAAAAUACUGAAACAUUGUUCAAAAUUGAGUUCAGAUAAAAUUUGAGCUGAUAUAUAUUCUUUAAUAUCUUCAACUUAAUAAGCUAUAGUGCUGAAGUAAAAACUCUUUUGCUAUUAAAAAAAUAAAGAUAUAAUUAAUAAACAGAAAUCUUAGAAGAAUGAUAUAUGAGUUGAGAAUGAGAGAUAAAUUGAAGAUAAUCUCUGAGUGUAACAGAUGUACUAUCAAUUAACAGACUUAGUAUUAUUCUAAUACAGUUUAUAAAUUGAUUAAGAAAAGAAAAAGAAAACAGAUUGAAAGAAAGAUCAUACAAAGAGAUUUUUAUAAAGAAAUAAGUAAAGUGGAAGAAUAUUAGAGAUUAUACAGAGAAAUCAUUAAAGACUAUAUAUACAGAGUGAAAUUGCAAGG
RNAcentral lists this small RNA (629 nucleotides) under Histoplasma capsulatum var. duboisii H88. RNAcentral describes it as "Histoplasma capsulatum H88 hypothetical RNA". The record is from RNAcentral. Lineage: Eukaryota; Fungi; Ascomycota; Eurotiomycetes; Onygenales; Ajellomycetaceae.